Molecule: long non-coding RNA, 1661 nt
Organism: Herpailurus yagouaroundi (jaguarundi)
Lineage: Eukaryota; Metazoa; Chordata; Mammalia; Carnivora; Felidae
Exons: 5
Source: RefSeq, a predicted model, not a curated record
GUCGGACACUCAACCAACUGAGCCACCCAGGCGCCCCUGCUGGUGCCUGAACAGGGAACCUGAAGGGGGACGUGUGCAGCACCACUGAAGAAGGGCCCAGGGAACCGAAGGAAACUUUGGAGCUGGGGAAGCUCAUCCUUCAGGAUUUCUGCAGGAUUGUUUUUCAGUUCUUCUACUGCCAGAUGAUAGAGAAAAAUUUGCCUGUUCUGUACCUUCAGACAAUCAUAUGGUUCCUGUGUGAUGCCAUCCAUGGAAAGGGCUUCUGCAAGAUCAAGGCUACCAGUGGUUACCCAGUCACCGGUUGAAACCCAGGCAUGAGCUGAUCCAAGCAACCGCAGUUCGACAUGACCCCACCAAAGAGUUUCACAGAAUGUCCACUGAGAAACCAAUAAUUGUGCCCAGUGCACCACACCCUCUCCUGAGGAGCACUAGGACCUCUUAGCCUCCUACUCAGGGACAAGUUAAGAGGUUGAUGCACGCUGCUGAAAAAAUCUUGAUGCAGACUCGCAGCCCACAAAACUCCUGCUCACCUUUUCCUUGCGAUGCUCGUGGUUAUCACUACUAUGUCUGGUGCCAGGGACAAUGAGCCUGUCAACGGACCAACAGCUUGGGUUAUACAAUGUCCUCCUAUAGCCCAUUGUAUAUAAACAAAAAGGGGGAGAUGUUGGAGAACAAGAAACCAGAGGCACGUAAGGAUGUCUUGAAGGAAAGGGACGGAGCAGCGAGGAACCAAAAGCAGUUUUAUCCCCAGGACGGAAGGCCGCCGGGACUGCUCAUUUUCUCCAGAAGGACAUCAUACGGGUGGCCAGGACUGGGGAUAAGAAUGUUUUGUCUGUCACCAGAUGUACUCAUGACCCAGUAUGGAAUACACUGCAAGUGCACAACCUGUCAAGAUGCCACAUACUAUGUUGUAAUGGCUUGUUAUCAAUUUGCAAACAUAAAAGAGGCUUGAGCCAGAGGACCAAUGCUUUGGCUCCUGGAGAGUCUCAGCCCCCUGCUUUGUAAUUCUCUCAUCACCACACCUUCAGGACCUGUCUCUCUACACAAGUAUGUGAAUAUCUUUGGGUUUUCAGAUACUGUGCUGGCCAGUUGUUUGAGAGAGCUGCUGGGGUCCUCUGGAGAGCAAAUCACUUGGAACCAAUGUCGCUCCUGCUGUGUGACUGUUACUGGUAGCCAAGGCUCUUCUUUUUUUGUUCCUAGCCUUCUCUGUACAUCUCAGGUUUGCUAGUGUCUGAAUGAAGUGCAACAGAAGUAGGUCCCUUGUGUGGUGCCUCAAAAGCCUGGAGAAACUGGUUGGUCACCCUGCUCUCCCUUUUCCAGUUAGGGAAAUGCUUUCUGGCCAGAGUGUUUCUGCUUGGUACUGAGCAGUGCCCAACUGGAAGACCAGUGAUGCAAGCAAAAUUAAGAUAUUUUUCCUUUCCUUUGUGUGCACUUAUGCUCAGGGUUUUCUUCCCCACUGUGUUGCUGUUAUUUCCUAAGUGGACCCCUGAGCUAUCCCAGAGAGCUUUUUGUUUGUGGGUAGAUGGCUAAUCGUAGAUCUCUGUGGGAAAACAGAAGGUAGGGCCUCCUAUUUCACCAUCUUGGUGAUGCCACUUCAGCUGUCUUAGUAUGCUAAAUGAGUUGAAAUCAUGGGAAAAAAAUUAAAAUCAGGAAGAUGUGAA